AUUGAACGCUGGCGGCAUGCCUUACACAUGCAAGUCGAACGGCAGCACGGGUGCUUGCACCUGGUGGCGAGUGGCGCACGGGUGAGUAAUACAUCGGAACAUGUCCUGUAGUGGGGGAUAGCCGGGCGAAAGCCGGAUUAAUACCGCAUACGAUCUACGGAUGAACGCGGGGGACCUUCGGGCCUCGCGCUAUAGGGUUGGCCGAUGGCUGAUUAGCUAGUUGGUGGGGUCAAGGCCUACCAAGGCGACGAUCAGUAGCUGGUCUGAGAGGACGACCAGCCACACUGGGACUGAGACACGGCCCAGACUCCGACGGGAGGCAGCAGUGGGGAAUUUUGGACGAUGGGGGCAACCCUGAUCCAGCCAUCCCGCGGGUGCGAUGAAGGCCUUCGGGUUGUAAAGCACUUUUGGCAGGAAAGAAACGUCGCGGGCGAAUACCCCGUGGAACUGACGGUACCUGCAGAAUAAGCACCGGCUAACUACGUG
This 486-nucleotide ribosomal RNA is filed under the name uncultured bacterium. RNAcentral's name for it is "partial 16S ribosomal RNA". It matches the Rfam family "Bacterial small subunit ribosomal RNA", at positions 28 to 507 of the family's 1533-position model. The record is from RNAcentral.